GGCGAGUGAAGCGGCAACAGCUCAAAUUUGAAAUCUGGCCUCUUUUGGGGUCCGAGUUGUAAUUUGCAGAGGGCGCUUUGGCGUUGGCAGCGGUCCAAGUUCCUUGGAACAGGACGUCACAGAGGGUGAGAAUCCCGUACGUGGUCGCUGGCCUUCGCCGUGUAAAGCCCCUUCGACGAGUCGAGUUGUUUGGGAAUGCAGCUCUAAAUGGGAGGUAAAUUUCUUCUAAAGCUAAAUACUGGCCAGAGACCGAUAGCGCACAAGUAGAGUGAUCGAAAGAUGAAAAGCACUUUGGAAAGAGAGUCAAACAGCACGUGAAAUUGUUGAAAGGGAAGCGCUUGCAGCCAGACUUGCCUGUAGUUGCUCAUCCGGGCUUUUGCCCGGUGCACUCUUCUAUAGGCAGGCCAGCAUCAGUUUGGGCGGUUAGAUAAAGGUCUCUGUCAUGUACCUCUCUUCGGGGAGAACUUAUAGGGGAGGCGACAUGUAACCAGCCCAGAUUGAGGUCCGCGCAUUUGCUAGGAUGCUGGCGUAAUGGCUGUAAGCGGCCCGUCUUGAAACACGGACCAAGGAGUCUAACAUCUAUGCGAGUGUUUGGGUGUCAAGCCCGAGCGCGCAAUGAAAGUGAACGGAGGUGGGAACCCCUCGGGGUGCACCAUCGACCGAUCCUGAUGUCUUCGGAUGGAUUUGAGUAAGAGCAUAGCUGUUGGGACCCGAAAGAUGGUGAACUAUGCUUGAAUAGGGUGAAGCCAGAGGAAACUCUGGUGGAGGCUCGCAGCGGUUCUGACGUGCAAAUCGAUCGUCAAA
This 804-nucleotide ribosomal RNA is filed under the name Thyrostroma celtidis. Its description in RNAcentral is "Thyrostroma sp. CS-2019a partial large subunit ribosomal RNA". It matches the Rfam family "Eukaryotic large subunit ribosomal RNA", at positions 88 to 909 of the family's 3401-position model. Lineage: Eukaryota; Fungi; Ascomycota; Dothideomycetes. RNAcentral also lists the same sequence under 2 other names. The record is from RNAcentral.